Non-coding RNA from Aspergillus bertholletiae, 106 nucleotides. NCBI's taxonomy places the organism in Eukaryota, Fungi, Ascomycota, Eurotiomycetes, Eurotiales, Aspergillaceae. The record is from the annotation of a GenBank genome assembly.
GCCCUUAUAGCUCAGUGGUACGAGCGCAUCACUCGUAGCCUGAGGCAGCGAUGUCACUGGUGUUGAGUUCAUGAUGAGGUCCGCGGUUCAAUCCCGCGUGGGGGCA